RNAcentral lists this ribosomal RNA (759 nucleotides) under Triticum aestivum (bread wheat). RNAcentral describes it as "partial small subunit ribosomal RNA". Lineage: Eukaryota; Viridiplantae; Streptophyta; Magnoliopsida; Poales; Poaceae. The record is from RNAcentral.
AUGGACAGAAACUUGGAUGCGUACUUCUUGACUUCCAGUUGGAUACGUACUUGUAUAGGUAUUGCCGUAUUGCUGCGGUGCCGGAUGCCGGAUGGCCGGGCUGGCGCCUGCCUGCCGGACUGCUGUGUGGCGGCGACGACGAGCCGGCGAGGCGAGGGUGACACGGCAAGGGCCAAGGGGCAAAGAGCCAAGCGAGCGAGAAGGCCGACGGGCUAUAUAGUACAUGCAUAUACUCCAUCAUGUGCACCCCCCCCCUCGCCUGGGCCCUGGGUCGUCGCCCCGUCGCCCAUGCCCCAGGGCCGGCCCAUGGCGGACAGCGGCAUCGGGUUUUCUCUGCAGCGUCUGGAUCUCGUGGUGGGGAGGCGGGCUCGCCUCCUGUUCGGCGGCGCGGCCCCGAGAGGCUACGUGGAGCUCUGGCCGGCGGCGGGGUGGCAGCCCCUCGGCCCAGGCUUUCUUUGUGAUUUGUGGCGUUCAAUUCAGGGAGAGAGCCCUUCAAGAUACAUCAACCACCUCAAGCCCGCCCGCCUCGGUGACUGCAUCGAGGCCAAGGCGAACCCCAUCCGGUACCUCGACCCCGACGCGUACUUGGAUAAGGACCAGCUGCUGGACGCAGUGCAUUGGAUCCGGCAGGCGGUGGGGCUCGCCUGCGGCCUGCUCUGGGGCGUCGCCCCCCUCGUCGGCGCCUUCUGGAUUGCCCUGUCAGUCCCUCCCUCCCUCCAUCCUCAAAGCCCCAACCUUCUUCUUUCCCUUCAGACAUAG